AAUUUUAUGUUAAAUUAUGUAUUUAUUUUUGGCAGGGCAAGUACAGUUUUGAACCCUAGCAUUGAGCUCUGCAUUUGAAUAAGCCAGUCUACUUCAAGGAUUUUUAAAGGCCUUUGAUUAUGUUAAGAAAAUUGUAAAAUAAAUCACUUCACAACGUUCUUUGUUUUAAUUACUCUUUUAUUUUAUUGUAGAGCAGUGGUCUUUAUAAAUCACGUUUGCUGUAGAUCAGUGGUCUUAAUACUAGCCUACUAUAGCAGCUAACAGGUCAGAGAUAUUUAAAAUAAAGCCUGAUAAAAUCAUUAGCAUUUUCUUUGUUUAUUAUUUUAAUAUUAUUUUUUUCUUGGUUUUGAUAGUAAUACAUUCUAAUCAGUAAUUUUACAUGCAGAUUAAUGUAUGUAUAGACAUGUAGUGUGUGUGUGUGUGUGUGUUUGUUUGCGUGCGCAUGUUUACAUGAAUAGUAGGCCAGUCUGGAUGAAGUCCAGGGCUGAUUUUUUGUCCCAGUCCAGCCCUGGCUGUAUCUAACUAUCACACCAAAUAUCCCUCAUCUGACUGCAUCCCAUUUUCACUCAUGUGUUUCUGUCUUUUAGGCUGUGAUAAGAAGUACGGUACGGGUUGCACUUUGCUUUAUGUAAUAAUUGUCAAAUAUUUUGAUUUCAGAUAUGGGAAAAGCACUUAAGAUGAGCACACGUUUCAGGAACGUUAAAAUUAAGUUGGUGAGGAGGUCUAUGGUGGGCCCUGCAAGUUUUCUUACCUCAGUCAAGGUCUUCCCCUGCCCAGCUACAAACAGACCCACCCUUCAGACGCUUCUACUACAUCUCAACCUGCUGAACCUGAUGAUGCGACACCAAGCUGUUCUGAGAGCGCAUACAGUAAGGCAAAGAAGAGAGAGCUUCAUGCCUGGGAUGCAGUCAAGGAUGAGAUGCUUAAGGUGUCGUUUGAAUGUUCAGCACCGAUCACUACCCAGUGUGCUGUCUGCCGAGAACAUGCUGAUUAUAGGUGCAUUGAGUGCAGCUCCACUGCACUGUUCUGUGAGGUUUGCCUGAAGAGGACUUUCACUGCAUCUUCCUGAAAAGUGGAAUAGUGUUUACUAUGAGCCAUCCUCCCUGGGGUUAUUCCUAUAUUUACCUGAAGCCCAUGGCACCCAUGCUGUGUACACAAAGGACAUGAAGGUCAUUGUCAGCACAGGAUGGCUCUGCACCGUUACAGACACCAUGUGUGCGUGUGAACCAGAAACCUGUACUCUGCUGAGAUCUGGGCUCUGACCAGCAACAGCCACAAGCCCCAGACAGACAGCCUUCUCCAUCCCUCUGCUAGAGCUUGUUGUUUCUCUGUCACUGGAGUGUCUGGUUUCUGUUGAGGGUUUUUGCAACACCCCAUAUCCCAUUUUAGGCAUCACCACUUCCGACAAAGAGGUUUGGUUGAUAUUUGCCCACAAUUAAAUGAUGGAACAAAAUAUGCCCAGCAUGUCCAAAGGCGGAUGGAGAUAUGAUUGUCACAUUGGAUGCAAACUUUGGCCUUGUGAGGAAUCAAAGCUCUGGGACAAGUGCGGUUGAUCCAUUACACAGAACCCACGUGUUUAGAGGAAUACCUGCUAUCACAUCUUGACAGCUCAAAGCCUCAAGAGGUUAAUCAUUGUUGCAGAAUUUCAUUCGAGUCCAUGAAAUAUUAAUUAAAAUUGUGAAAAAGAUCACUAUUCCUCCCAUAAAUCUAUGUUUUCCUUAAAUCUUUAUGACUGCAGUAAGCUGCUCUCAUUCAAGGUCUCCAACAGCUGGAAAGAAAAUGACAUCAAGCCACUGUGAUGUUUCACCCACAUGUACCAGACAUUAUAGACAUAUAAUAUAAAAUAAUUAUUAUUUUAUAUAUAUAUAUAUAUAUUUAAUUACUUUACUGCAUUACUUGUGCAGACAUGUUGUUUUACUAGGUCUGAUCUAUUUUAAAGCUUAGGCACUGUAUUUAAGCAUACAUAUCCCCACUAGUCUGUCUGUAUGAGUACAAAAUUAAAAAAUAAACUGUCUAUAAUUGUUACUGUACAAGCACAGCAAAAUAUUUCUAUAAAAAAUAUUGCACUACUGUUAUUUUGCAUAGAAUACAUUGUUC
Carassius auratus (goldfish) is the source of this 2097-nucleotide long non-coding RNA. RefSeq lists it as uncharacterized. The record is from RefSeq and is a predicted model, not a curated record. The transcript is spliced from 4 exons. NCBI's taxonomy places the organism in Eukaryota, Metazoa, Chordata, Actinopteri, Cypriniformes, Cyprinidae.